AGAGUUUGAUCAUGGCUCAGAAUGAACGCUGGCGGCAGGCCUAACACAUGCAAGUCGAACGGGAUCUUCGGAUCUAGUGGCGGACGGGUGAGUAACGCGUGGGAACGUGCCCUUUGCUUCGGAAUAGCCCCGGGAAACUGGGAGUAAUACCGGAUGUGCCCUUUGGGGGAAAGAUUUAUCGGCAAAGGAUCGGCCCGCGUUGGAUUAGGUAGUUGGUGGGGUAAUGGCCUACCAAGCCGACGAUCCAUAGCUGGUUUGAGAGGAUGAUCAGCCACACUGGGACUGAGACACGGCCCAGACUCCUACGGGAGGCAGCAGUGGGGAAUCUUAGACAAUGGGGGAAACCCUGAUCUAGCCAUGCCGCGUGAUCGAUGAAGGCCUUAGGGUUGUAAAGAUCUUUCAGAUGGGAAGAUAAUGACGGUACCAUCAGAAGAAGCCCCGGCUAACUCCGUGCCAGCAGCCGCGGUAAUACGGAGGGGGCUAGCGUUAUUCGGAAUUACUGGGCGUAAAGCGCACGUAGGCGGAUUAGAAAGUCAGAGGUGAAAUCCCAGGGCUCAACCUUGGAACUGCCUUUGAAACUCCUAGUCUUGAGGUCGAGAGAGGUGAGUGGAAUUCCGAGUGUAGAGGUGAAAUUCGUAGAUAUUCGGAGGAACACCAGUGGCGAAGGCGGCUCACUGGCUCGAUACUGACGCUGAGGUGC
RNAcentral lists this ribosomal RNA (700 nucleotides) under uncultured bacterium. RNAcentral's name for it is "bacterial SSU rRNA". It matches the Rfam family "Bacterial small subunit ribosomal RNA", at positions 8 to 754 of the family's 1533-position model. The record is from RNAcentral.